RNAcentral lists this ribosomal RNA (393 nucleotides) under uncultured bacterium. Its description in RNAcentral is "bacterial SSU rRNA". It matches the Rfam family "Bacterial small subunit ribosomal RNA", at positions 28 to 421 of the family's 1533-position model. The record is from RNAcentral.
GACGAACGCUGGCGGCGUGCUUAACACAUGCAAGUCGAGCGGUAAGGCCCCUUCGGGGUACGACGAGCGGCGAACGGGUGAGUAACACGUGGGUGACCUGCCCUCAGCUCUGGGAUAAGCCUGGGAAACUAGGGUCUAAUACCGGAUAUGACUCCAUGACGCAUGUCGUGGGGUGGAAAGCCUUGUGCGGCUGGGGAUGGGCCCGCGGCCUAUCAGCUUGUUGGUGGGGUGAUGGCCUACCAAGGCGACGACGGGUAGCCGGCCUGAGAGGGCGACCGGCCACACUGGGACUGAGACACGGCCCAGACUCCUACGGGAGGCAGCAGUGGGGAAUCUUGCGCGAUGGGCGAAAGCCUGACGCAGCGACGCCGCGUGAGGGAUGACGGCCUGUGU